Molecule: ribosomal RNA, 462 nt
Filed under: uncultured bacterium
Lineage: Bacteria
Description: partial 16S ribosomal RNA
Rfam family: Bacterial small subunit ribosomal RNA
Source: RNAcentral
GACGAACGCUGGCGGCGUGCUUAACACAUGCAAGUCGAACGGUAAGGCCCUUCGGGGUACACGAGUGGCGAACGGGUGAGUAACACGUGGGUAAUCUGCCCUGCACUUCGGGAUAAGCCUGGGAAACUGGGUCUAAUACCGGAUAUUCAGUUCCUGCCGCAUGGUGGGGGUUGGAAAGUUUUUCGGUGCAGGAUGAGCCCGCGGCCUAUCAGCUUGUUGGUGGGGUAAUGGCCUACCAAGGCGACGACGGGUAGCCGGCCUGAGAGGGUGAUCGGCCACACUGGGACUGAGACACGGCCCAGACUCCUACGGGAGGCAGCAGUGGGGAAUAUUGCACAAUGGGCGAAAGCCUGAUGCAGCGACGCCGCGUGAGGGAUGACGGUCUUCGGAUUGUAAACCCCUUUCAGUAGGGACGAAGCGCAAGUGACGGUACCUGCAGAAGAGGCACCGGCCAACUACGUG